RNAcentral lists this small RNA (294 nucleotides) under Arabidopsis thaliana (thale cress). Its description in RNAcentral is "ATSL122530". The record is from RNAcentral. Lineage: Eukaryota; Viridiplantae; Streptophyta; Magnoliopsida; Brassicales; Brassicaceae.
AUUUGAAAAUGAAGAUCUUGUGAAACAUAAUUCAUUGUUCUCUAUUUUACCAUUUAAACUUUUUCACGUGUAUAAAGAACUUUUUGAGGUGGACGAUCUUCAGUUGGAUCACGGAUUCUGUCAUUGUUCUUUGGUCGAUUUUUGGAAAUUAAUAUCCCAUUAAUAUUUAAUUACUAUGGGGUUAAGUUUAUUAACAGGUUUUAGUUCAGAGUUUGUUUUACUAAAAACAUAGUUCAGAAUUUAAAAAUAGAUCUGACCAAAGCUGACGGUUUUUUUCAUUAAAUUCCCUUAAUA